Molecule: unclassified non-coding RNA, 281 nt
Filed under: uncultured fungus
Lineage: Eukaryota; Fungi
Description: partial contains small subunit ribosomal RNA, internal transcribed spacer 1, and 5.8S ribosomal RNA
Rfam family: Eukaryotic small subunit ribosomal RNA (bases 1-73)
Source: RNAcentral
UCAAACUUGGUCAUUUAGAGGAAGUAAAAGUCGUAACAAGGUUUCCGUAGGUGAACCUGCGGAAGGAUCAUUAAAGAUUUAGUAAUCCUACUCACCUCGUGUGCAGCUUUACAAAGUCUGAUAUCCUUGGAGAGAUCAAUUUUUUGCUUGAACCCUCUCCAAGGAGGUUAUCACCAUCAAUGUAUCUUUUCUUUACUCUUUUAUGUCUAAAUCAAUAAAUUUAAAUUGAAACAACUUUCAACAACGGAUCUCUUGGCUCUCGCAUCGAUGAAGAACGCAGC